GUUUCUCAGGACUAGAGAUGCAAGUUUAAGUGAUAGUUACUCAAACACACAAUGGGAUUUAUAUUCUCCAAGAAAUCCAGCAAUGUUUAAUUUAUUGGGUGAUCUGAUUCACUUGCGUUGUCUUCUCUACCUGGCACCUAACAAAAUGUUCCACAAGAAUACACGGGUGGGUGGAUGGAUGUCAAGGUCAUGGCUAUUAUUGAAGCUUGAGGUGACUUGCAAAGGAGAUAAAUCCAAUGGGUGCCUGACAGAGUCAAGGGCGCCUAUGCUGUUUUAUCAUAACUCAUCUUGGUGGAUCAUUUCAUAGAUCAAGUUACCUGAUCGGUAGAACGAGAACCUGUCUCAAAGUAAAAUGGAUCACACGAGCCUCUAGCAACC
RNAcentral lists this long non-coding RNA (378 nucleotides) under Fukomys damarensis (Damara mole-rat). Its description in RNAcentral is "lncRNA (ENSFDAG00000027932.1)". The record is from RNAcentral. Lineage: Eukaryota; Metazoa; Chordata; Mammalia; Rodentia; Bathyergidae.